AGGAGCUGAGGAUUCGAAUAGCAGUGCUUCUUACUAGAUUUUGCUGAGAACUUCUUGUGAUGACUAAAGCUUUUGUUUUUUCAUGCGGAAUACUUCCAUUUUGGAAGGUCAAGGAUUUUGCAGUGGUAACAGUUGAUUUACAAAGAGUGACUUGUAUGUUAAAUAUCAACACCUACAAUUUGAGAUUAUUGUGUAGGAGGAAAUGCUUUCAUUGCAUUAAUAGGAGUAAUCGUGUGAGUUUUUGUUCUUUUGACAUAUUGAUAAUGCUUAUUAUGGUUUGAUGGUCUUCCGUAUGUUUUUGUAGAUUACUUCUAAAAUUUGUGAACUUAGGUUGUUUGAAAUCCUGUUAUGACCAGUUGACAAAGAUUUUUUGGCCAAAAA
Camellia sinensis is the source of this 381-nucleotide non-coding RNA. The record is from RefSeq and is a predicted model, not a curated record. NCBI's taxonomy places the organism in Eukaryota, Viridiplantae, Streptophyta, Magnoliopsida, Ericales, Theaceae.